CAAAAUGCAUUAGACUUUUUCGUUCCCUCCUUCCCCCCGAAAUCCCAAAAUUUGACAAGAAAUCUUUCUUUUUUUUCCCUCCUUUCUUUUCCCAAAAUCGGUUCCCUCCCCCAUCCCCAAAGAAAUCCUAAAAUUUCACUUGAAAUUUCUUCUCUUUUUUUCCCCAAAUUAUUUUUCCCAAACCAUUUCUCCCCUACCCCGAUUCCCUUUAUUUUUUCCCCCAAUUUCCUCAAAUCGGCAGCCCUCUGCAUCUCCGUCGGUAGCCCGCUGCUGUAUCUCUGUCGCAUCUGCUGUCAGUAGCCCUCUCUCUCUUUGUUUACUAUCACUGUUUUUACUAGUAAUUGCUAAUCUUUCAUUUUUAUUCUUCCUGUAAUAAUUUUGAAGGUUUAAUUGGGUUAGAUCAUUGAUUAAUUGCUGGUGACAUUUUUUUUUUGUUAUAUUGCUCAACAGUUGUUGACUUCUUGUAGAAUUUUCCUUGCUUAUUUGGUUAUUUGAUAAAAUAGAAUUAGGCUUCUUGAAUACUUUAGCUAGUAUUUUCAGUUGAAAUUUUGUUAAAUCUUUUUAUUUUUUAUAAUUGUUCUUUAUUUUCCAGCUUUUUCUAGAUGUUUCUCUGGUUAUACAUUUAUACACACACAUAUAUAUAAGCUUUUCCUUUUUAAUUCUCUGUUUUUUUUCCUUGCCGUAUUUCUUUGCUUUAUCUACUUUAGAAAGUCAAAUAUUUUUCCUUUAGCCCUUUAAGAUUUUUGGUUUUAAGCCGAAAAAUUACAUGAAAAAGAUACUAGUAGAAGUUUUAUCAUGAAGCUUUAGCAAUUUAAAGCUUCCUCAACUUGAGUAAAUGAAGAUCUGUAAUAAUAAUGAGAUUUUCUAUAAGCACAUAUCACCUGAUUUUGUAAUUCUGGGUUUUUGUUCUUUGAAUAUUGUUAAAAUUAACUUUGAAAUCUUAUAUUUUUUCUGUUUAUUAAAAAUAUAUUUAUAUUGAAAUUGAACUUUUCUGUUGUUUACUAAUCACGUUGAACAAUAUCUCUCCCUCAUCUUCUUGAUUUUUUCUUCUUAGAGAAUCUUGUUGAAGAACAAUACUGGACAAACUUCUGUAUUGGAUUCAUUAUGAAAAUCAUUUGUGUCAUUUACUACUAAUAUUUAUACAUCAACCACAUUUUCUUGUGAACAUGCAAAAUAGAAUUUCUAUUAUUAUUAUUGAAUAUAUUUUUUAUGCAUGUGUGGAAGUGAUUCCUUGUUAAUUGUUAUUCUAUAUCCAAAAUGUCGGUCCUAUCAAUUCUCUUGCAUUCUGCAUCCUAGUUAAGUUCAUCUGAUAAAUGCUACAGACAACUGAUUUUUUUCAUCUUUGAACCACUCUCUGUUUAGGAGGAAAAAAAAUGAUGUAACGGAUUGAGCCAUGUUCAAUCUUGUUUCACGCUAAGCGCUUAUAUCCGACAUAUAUUUGGACCAUGAUUUUGAACCAACCAAUAUGCCAAGAACUGAUGAGUCAAUAAACUUCGAAAUUCCUUUUCUGUCGAUUUAUUCCUUGCCUAUAGAAUGAUGCAAUUGCAGGAUGCUCUCGAAUUUGAUUCCCAUUAGCUUGUUGCUCUAUGCAAGCAUUACAGUUGCAAAGGAAUAAUUGAAUUAUAUUCUUUAUACUUCCAAAUUAACACCCUAAACCAUUAUGUUAUUUAGACUUUAUUUUUCCUAAAGUACUUGUAUCAGACAUAUAUUUGAAAAUAAAUAUGGGGCAUUGUAAACUUUGAAAAAAUUGAAAGCUCAUAGAUGGACCUUCAAUCUUUUCAAGUAAUGGGCCAUUUCGAUUGGGCCAAAUUAUAUGUUUGUAAUUUUGUACUGGACUUGGACUUUGUUUUCUUUUUUUUGAACUUAUUUCUGGGCCCGGGCAAAAUUGAGUGUCUACAUCUGUUCCUUUCAAUUUUAAUUUCGUUUGUUCUUGCUUCUUCUGUUUUAUGCAAUUUUUAUUUAUCGUUCCAUCAAAAGAGAUUGCUCUUGUGUGUUUCGUGUUACUGGGUGUGAGUCAGAAUUGUCUUGUGGAGGGUAAACGAUUAAUCCUUGUUGUUGCAAUUCCGAUUUAAGGUGUGUUUUCGAAACUGAUGAUUUUAAGUGUUGAGUUAUUGAGGGAUUGCAUGAUAUUCUGCCAUUUCAGUAUGUUUCCAGAUUUCCAAGGGAUGGGAUCGUUUCGGUGUCAAAAACACAAAUUUCAGGUUGCUUCGGUGUGGUUUUGUGACUACACGGGUAGCCACACAGGCGUGUGGAAUUGGGAAUUAGGGUUUUUGGGUGAAUUUUGGUGCCACAUGGGCAUGUGUACCCACACGGGCGUGUAAGAUCUCCACACGGCUGUGUCGCCUCUACUCUUUAUUUUUGGCAUUUUUGGAUAGUGAGUUACACGGGCUGUUCACACGGGCAUGUGUCCCCUCCACACGAGAGUGUGUGGCCUUCAUAUGGGCGUGUAGACGCCCACACGGCAUGGGCACUUC
This 2474-nucleotide long non-coding RNA is filed under the name Gossypium barbadense (sea-island cotton). Its description in RNAcentral is "long non-coding RNA (GBAR_LNC007726)". The record is from RNAcentral. Lineage: Eukaryota; Viridiplantae; Streptophyta; Magnoliopsida; Malvales; Malvaceae.